GAUGAACGCUGGCGGCGUGCCUAAUACAUGCCAGUCGAGCGAACAGACGAGGAGCUUGCUCCUCUGACGUUAGAGGCGGACGGGUGAGUAACACGUGGAUAACCUACCUAUAAGACUGGGAUAACUUCGGGAAACUGGAGCUAAUUCCGGAUAAUCUAUUGAACCGCAUGGUUCAAUAGUGAAAGACGGUUUUGCUGUCCCUUCUGGAUGGAUCCGCGCCGCAUUAGCGAGUUGGUAAGGUAACGGCUUACCAAGGCAACGGUGCGUAGCCGACCUGAGAGGGUGAUCGGUCACACGGGAACUGAGACACGGGCCAGACCCCUACGUGAGGCAGCAGUAGGGAAUCUUCGGCAAUGGGCGAAAGCCUGACGUAGCAACGCGGCGUGAGUGAUGAAGGGCUUCGGAUCGUAAAACUCUGUUAUUAGGGAAGAACAAAUGUGUAAGUAACUAUGCACGUCUUGACGGUACCUAAACAGAAAGCCACGGCUAACUACGUG
Molecule: ribosomal RNA, 497 nt
Filed under: uncultured bacterium
Lineage: Bacteria
Description: partial 16S ribosomal RNA
Rfam family: Bacterial small subunit ribosomal RNA
Source: RNAcentral